Molecule: ribosomal RNA, 1111 nt
Filed under: Escherichia coli
Lineage: Bacteria; Pseudomonadati; Pseudomonadota; Gammaproteobacteria; Enterobacterales; Enterobacteriaceae
Description: partial 23S ribosomal RNA
Rfam family: Bacterial large subunit ribosomal RNA
Source: RNAcentral
UAGCGGCGAGCGAACGGGGAGCAGCCCAGAGCCUGAAUCAGUGUGUGUGUUAGUGGAAGCGUCUGGAAAGGCGUGCGAUACAGGGUGACAGCCCCGUACACAAAAAUGCACAUACUGUGAGCUCGAUGAGUAGGGCGGGACACGUGGUAUCCUGUCUGAAUAUGGGGGGACCAUCCUCCAAGGCUAAAUACUCCUGACUGACCGAUAGUGAACCAGUACCGUGAGGGAAAGGCGAAAAGAACCCCGGCGAGGGGAGUGAAAAAGAACCUGAAACCGUGUACGUACAAGCAGUGGGAGCACGCUUAGGCGUGUGACUGCGUACCUUUUGUAUAAUGGGUCAGCGACUUAUAUUCUGUAGCAAGGUUAACCGAAUAGGGGAGCCGAAGGGAAACCGAGUCUUAACUGGGCGUUAAGUUGCAGGGUAUAGACCCGAAACCCGGUGAUCUAGCCAUGGGCAGGUUGAAGGUUGGGUAACACUAACUGGAGGACCGAACCGACUAAUGUUGAAAAAUUAGCGGAUGACUUGUGGCUGGGGGUGAAAGGCCAAUCAAACCGGGAGAUAGCUGGUUCUCCCCGAAAGCUAUUUAGGUAGCGCCUCGUGAAUUCAUCUCCGGGGGUAGAGCACUGUUUCGGCAAGGGGGUCAUCCCGACUUACCAACCCGAUGCAAACUGCGAAUACCGGAGAAUGUUAUCACGGGAGACACACGGCGGGUGCUAACGUCCGUCGUGAAGAGGGAAACAACCCAGACCGCCAGCUAAGGUCCCAAAGUCAUGGUUAAGUGGGAAACGAUGUGGGAAGGCCCAGACAGCCAGGAUGUUGGCUUAGAAGCAGCCAUCAUUUAAAGAAAGCGUAAUAGCUCACUGGUCGAGUCGGCCUGCGCGGAAGAUGUAACGGGGCUAAACCAUGCACCGAAGCUGCGGCAGCGACGCUUAUGCGUUGUUGGGUAGGGGAGCGUUCUGUAAGCCUGUGAAGGUGUACUGUGAGGUAUGCUGGAGGUAUCAGAAGUGCGAAUGCUGACAUAAGUAACGAUAAAGCGGGUGAAAAGCCCGCUCGCCGGAAGACCAAGGGUUCCUGUCCAACGUUAAUCGGGGCAGGGUGAGUCGACCCCUA